CCAGCUCUGACCCUGCAGCUCUGGGAGAGGAGCCUCAGCCCCGGGACUCCCAGGUCUGCCCACUGGCUGCUCAGGACUGAAGACAGACGACCCGCCAUGGAGUCUGGGCUGAGCUGGCUUCUCCUGGUUGCUCUCUUACAAGGUGUCCAGUGCGAGGUGAAGCUGGUGGAGUCUGGGGGAGGCUUGGUCCGGCCUGGGGGCUCCCUCGAACUCUCCUGCGCAGCCUCUGGAUUCACAUUCAGCAGCUACUGGAUGAGCUGGGUCCGCCAGGCUGAAGGCAAGGGACUGGAAUGGGUCUCAAGCAUCAAUAGCAAUGGUGGUAGCACAUACUACCCGGACUCCGUGAAGGGCCGAUUCACCAUCUCCAGAGACAACGGCAAGAACACUUUGCAUCUGCGAAUGAACAGCCUGAAGCCCGAGGACACCGCGGUGUAUUUCUGUGCGAGGGACACAGCGAGGAGAAGGCAGUGGGAGCCCAAACACAAACCUCCUGCGGAGCGUGGCCGCUAG
Molecule: non-coding RNA, 510 nt
Organism: Nycticebus coucang (slow loris)
Lineage: Eukaryota; Metazoa; Chordata; Mammalia; Primates; Lorisidae
Source: the annotation of a RefSeq genome assembly